Molecule: ribosomal RNA, 347 nt
Filed under: uncultured bacterium
Lineage: Bacteria
Description: bacterial SSU rRNA
Rfam family: Bacterial small subunit ribosomal RNA
Source: RNAcentral
GGGCGUAAAAGAAGUGCGUAGGCGGGCGUAUAAGUCAGUGGUGAAAUCCCUGGAGCUUAACUCCAGAACUGCCAUUGAUACUAUAUGUCUUGAAUAUGGUGGAGGUAAGCGGAAUAUGUCAUGUAGCGGUGAAAUGCAUAGAUAUGACAUAGAACACCUAUUGCGAAGGCAGCUUACUACGCCUAUAUUGACGCUGAGGCACGAAAGCGUGGGGAUCAAACAGGAUUAGAUACCCUGGUAGUCCACGCCCUAAACGAUGGAUUACUCGACGUGUGCGAUAAACGGUACGCGUCUGAGCGAAAGCAUUAAGUAAUCCACCUGGGAAGUACGACCGCAAGGUUGAAACU